AUUGAACGCUGGCGGCAGGCCUAACACAUGCAAGUCGAGCGGAUGAGGGGAGCUUGCUCCCUGAUUUAGCGGCGGACGGGUGAGUAAUGCCUAGGAAUCUGCCUGGUAGUGGGGGAUAACGUUCCGAAAGGAACGCUAAUACCGCAUACGUCCUACGGGAGAAAGCAGGGGACCUUCGGGCCUUGCGCUAUCAGAUGAGCCUAGGUCGGAUUAGCUAGUUGGUGAGGUAAUGGCUCACCAAGGCGACGAUCCGUAACUGGUCUGAGAGGAUGAUCAGUCACACUGGAACUGGGACACGGUCCAGCCUCCCACGGGAGGCAGACGGGGGGAAUAUUGGACAAUGGGCGAAAGCCUGAUCCAGCCAUGCCGCGUGUGUGAAGAAGGUCUUCGGAUUUUAAAGCACUUUAAGUUGGGAGGAAGGGCCGCUGGUUAAUACCCUGCAGUUUUGACGUUACCAACAGAAUAAGCCCCGGCUAACUUCG
This 482-nucleotide ribosomal RNA is filed under the name uncultured bacterium. RNAcentral's name for it is "partial 16S ribosomal RNA". It matches the Rfam family "Bacterial small subunit ribosomal RNA", at positions 30 to 505 of the family's 1533-position model. The record is from RNAcentral.